CAUGCAAGUCGAGCGGCAAGUCGGGUAGCAAUACUUGACCUAGAGCGGCGCACGGGUGCGUUACGCGUAUGCAACUUACCUUAUACUGUGGGAUAGCCCGGAGAAAUCCGGAUUAAUACCGCAUGUUAUUGAGAGAUGGCAUCAUCACUCAAUUAAAGAUUUAUCGGUAUAAGAUGGGCAUGCGUAGGAUUAGCUAGUUGGUAGGGUAACGGCUUACCAAGGCUACGAUCCUUAGGGGUUCUGAGAGGAAGGUCCCCCACACUGGCACUGAGAUACGGGCCAGACUCCUACGGGAGGCAGCAGUAGGGAAUAUUGGGCAAUGGUCGGAAGACUGACCCAGCCAUGCCGCGUGCAGGAAGAAGGCCCUCUGGGUUGUAAACUGCUUUUAUCUGGGAAGAAAAGGCCCAUGCGGGGGAAAUUGCCGGUACCUGAUGAAUAAGCACCGGCGUAACAUCCGUG
This 459-nucleotide ribosomal RNA is filed under the name uncultured Hongiella sp. Its description in RNAcentral is "bacterial SSU rRNA". It matches the Rfam family "Bacterial small subunit ribosomal RNA", at positions 54 to 507 of the family's 1533-position model. Lineage: Bacteria; Pseudomonadati; Bacteroidota; Cytophagia; Cytophagales; Cyclobacteriaceae. The record is from RNAcentral.